UCACGUCUUACGACGGCAGUUUCACUAGAGUUCCCAGCGUUACCUGAUGGCAACUAGUGAUGGGGGUUGCGCUCGUUGCGGGACUUAACCCAACACCUCACGGCACGAGCUGACGACAGCCAUGCAGCACCUGUGCACGAGCCCCGAAGGGCUGCCGUAUUUCUACGACAUUCCCGUGCAUGUCAAGCCUAGGUAAGGUUCUUCGCGUUGCGUCGAAUUAAACCACAUGCUCCGCUGCUUGUGCGGGUCCCCGUCAAUUCCUUUGAGUUUUAGCCUUGCGGCCGUGCUCCCCAGGCGGGGCACUUAAUGCGUUAGCGUCGGCACGGGAGGAGUCGACACCUCCCACACCUAGUGCCCAUCGUUUACGGCGUGGACUAC
This 378-nucleotide unclassified non-coding RNA is filed under the name uncultured bacterium. Its description in RNAcentral is "contains 16S-23S intergenic spacer region". The record is from RNAcentral.